GGCUGUUUUGUAUAGUCAACCUCGUUCGCAUCGAGGGGGUCAGGGGUUCAAAUCCCCUCAGCUCCA
Molecule: transfer RNA, 66 nt
Filed under: Actinomadura barringtoniae
Lineage: Bacteria; Bacillati; Actinomycetota; Actinomycetes; Streptosporangiales; Thermomonosporaceae
Description: tRNA-OTHER
Rfam family: tRNA
About the family: Transfer RNA (tRNA) molecules are approximately 80 nucleotides in length. Their secondary structure includes four short double-helical elements and three loops (D, anti-codon, and T loops). Further hydrogen bonds mediate the characteristic L-shaped molecular structure. tRNAs have two regions of fundamental functional importance: the anti-codon, which is responsible for specific mRNA codon recognition, and the 3' end, to which the tRNAs corresponding amino acid is attached (by aminoacyl-tRNA synthetases). tRNAs cope with the degeneracy of the genetic code in two manners: having more than one tRNA (with a specific anti-codon) for a particular amino acid; and 'wobble' base-pairing, i.e. permitting non-standard base-pairing at the 3rd anti-codon position.
Source: RNAcentral